RNAcentral lists this long non-coding RNA (2060 nucleotides) under Linum usitatissimum (flax). RNAcentral's name for it is "long non-coding RNA (LUSI_LNC004034)". Lineage: Eukaryota; Viridiplantae; Streptophyta; Magnoliopsida; Malpighiales; Linaceae. The record is from RNAcentral.
CCGAAACCCUAACACUUUGCAAAUUGCAAUCCCUACAUCUCCCCUAAUUCUAAAUUCUCUCUCUCUCUCGAUGGGUACUGGUAGUUUUCUCCGCCAUCCAAACUCUUGAUAUCUGAUGUUCUUUUAUUUUUUCCACAUCAAAUCCUCCCACUCUUCAUCUUCAUUUUCUCCAACCGUAUUUCAGAAAUCAGUUUCGGACGCAGUCCAUUCAUAAAUCAGCUUCGGACUAUAUUUUACCCAGGCUAAUUUUUUGGGAUUGUUUGAGGUGGGUAGGGGUUUGGGGGAGCUGCUUUGUUGUUACGGGUUGCUAUUUUAUGUCUCUCUUUUAAUAGCAUCUUGUGCUGCUUUUUGGGGGGGUUUUUGGAUCUGUUGUGAUUUCUGCUCCGAUGCUCUUUCGGCGAUUCAGAAAUCCAUAUUUGGACUUUUGUUUCUAUUUAUGUGAUAGUUGUAUUUCAAUGGUUGGUGUUCAUAUUUCAGAUUAUGGAAAUUCUUUAUUUUGGUGAUUUUAUUGCAUUACUAGGUUGUAUGAUUAUCUUUUGGAGUUCAGUAUUCGGGUAUUGUAUAGGAAUGAAGAACAUGUCUAUUUCCGGUAUUCUGUAAUUGUUAAGUCCAUUGGAUCUUAUCUUUUUCUAAGAUUUUGACGGAUAUCGAAGACUCGUCGGGGAUCCGAAAUCCGUUGAAUGACGGGGUCGGUAUGAAAAUCGUGUCCGUUUGGCUUCCACGGACGGGGACGGAAAACCCGGUGGGCGGGGAUCGGAUUCCCCAAACCCGUCCCCGAUCUUCCCCGAUGCCAUCUCCAUUUGAUACUUACGAUCCGAACAAUAUGGUUUAAAUACUCCACCCCUCUGACCGAUACUCUACUAAUAAAAACUAAACCGAAUCAAACUAACCGAUCUGAAAAACAAUAAUGAAACUACACACAAAACACACACACUCACACAUACACACACUGACUAGAGCGGGUCAUCAACACAUCCCGACCCCUAAAGGGGGUGGUCAAUAUCACACACCCAGUAAUGAGAGGGGUGAUAGGUAACAGUGCAAAAUCAGGAAGAAAGGGUCCAUUUGUGAAAUAGAGAACAUUAUGUCAACAAUCGCUUUAUAUGGUUAGUAGACGAGACAUGAGGUGAAUGUCUCGAAAUCCUCAGUCUUCUUUACCAUGAAUACCCUUGAAGAGACUAUGAUGUCCAUUCGGUCAAGAGUAUUGUCCACUCGAAGUAUCUCGGGGUGCCUACGGAUUGAGGAGGCUCUAAGAAGAAACCUUCAGUUAUCUUUUGGAAAGAAUGCACAAACAAGCGCAGUCUCGGAAGGGUGGAAUUUUGCCCCAUGCAGUGAAAGAGGUUCCACUGAAAGCGGUUAUUUAAGCUAUCCCAACUCAUAUCAUGAGUCUCUUCCUUCUACUAACGAACCCAACAAGAUAGAUGCCAUCCUCAGUAAUUUCUUCUGGUCUGGAUCUACUUCGAAGAGAUCUAUUCAUGGGGUAAAAUGAGCCUAGUUAUGCGUCAGUAAGGAUGAAGGUGGGCUUGGCUUCCGUAAUUUUUGAUGUUUCAGUAAGGCCCUAGUGGCCAAGGGUGGAGGCUUCUCUCUUCUCAUGAUGCGACAUGGGCGCAGGUCUUGAAAGGAUUGUACUUCCCUAAAAUUUGGUUUCUCUCGGUGGCAAAGGGUCGGAGACUGUCCUGGAUUUGAGCGAGCCUAUGUGAUACCAGAGAGGUGGUUGUUGGAGGGGAAGUUCAGGUGGUAGGGAAUGUUAAUCGCUCAAUUUUACGAGGAUCCCAGGCUGCCGAAGGUGCCUGGAAUGCAUUCGGUUCCAAAAGGGACGGAGAUGAAGAUGAUCAGUGAGUUUAUAUAUCCAGUUUGUGUGAGUGGAGAUGAUAUUUGGUGAAUGCAAGGUGCAACAGGGAUGAGAUGGCAAUAAUUAGGCAGAUGUGUGUGCCCUAGGCAUAUGUAGAAAUUAUGGGCAUGGAAGCUUGAGAAGAAUGGAAGGUUUUCAGUGAGCUAUGCUUACCACGUGCCAAGAGGUCUAGACCCCAUGUUCAGCUUGAUGGAGCCCACCUUUCUCC